CCUACGGGUGGCUGCAGUGAGGAAUAUUGGUCAAUGGACGAGAGUCUGAACCAGCCAAGUCGCGUGAAGGAUGACUGCCCUAUGGGUUGUAAACUUCUUUUAUAUGGGAAUAAAAUGUUCCACGUGUGGGAUUUUGUAUGUACCAUAUGAAUAAGGAUCGGCCAACUCCGUGCCAGCAGCCGCGGUAAUACGGAGGAUUCGAGCGUUAUCCGGAUUUAUUGGGUUUAAAGGGAGCGUAGGUGGGUUGUUAAGUCAGUUGUGAAAGUUUGCGGCUCAACCGUAAAAUUGCAGUUGAAACUGGCAGUCGUGAGUACAUGAGAGGUGGGCGGAAUUCGUGGUGUAGCGGUGAAAUGCGUAGAUAUCACGAAGAACUCCGAUUGCGAAGGCAGUUCACUGGACUGCAACUGACACUGAGGCUCGAAAGUGUGGGUAUCAAACAGGAUUAGAUACCCCUGUAGUC
RNAcentral lists this ribosomal RNA (460 nucleotides) under uncultured bacterium. RNAcentral's name for it is "partial 16S ribosomal RNA". It matches the Rfam family "Bacterial small subunit ribosomal RNA", at positions 338 to 795 of the family's 1533-position model. The record is from RNAcentral.